This 484-nucleotide ribosomal RNA is filed under the name uncultured bacterium. Its description in RNAcentral is "partial 16S ribosomal RNA". It matches the Rfam family "Bacterial small subunit ribosomal RNA", at positions 30 to 507 of the family's 1533-position model. The record is from RNAcentral.
AUUGAACGCUGGCGGCAGGCCUAACACAUGCAAGUCGAGCGGAUGAAGGGAGCUUGCUCCUGGAUUCAGCGGCGGACGGGUGAGUAAUGCCUAGGAAUCUGCCUGGUAGUGGGGGAUAACGUCCGGACACGGGCGCUAAUACCGCAUACGUCCUGAGGGAGAAAGUGGGGGAUCUUCGGACCUCACGCUAUCAGAUGAGCCUAGGUCGGAUUAGCUAGUUGGUGGGGUAAAGGCCUACCAAGGCGACGAUCCGUAACUGGUCUGAGAGGAUGAUCAGUCACACUGGCACUGAGACACGGUCCAGACUCCUACGGGAGGCAGCAGUGGGGAAUAUUGGACAAUGGGCGAAAGCCUGAUCCAGCAAUGCCGCGUGUGUGAAGAAGGUCUUCGGAUUGUAAAGCACUUUAAGUUGGGAGGAAGGGUAGUAAGAUUAUACCUUACUGUUUUGACGUUACCAAAAGAAUAAGCACCGGCUAACUUCGUG